Molecule: ribosomal RNA, 693 nt
Filed under: uncultured Fusobacterium sp.
Lineage: Bacteria; Fusobacteriati; Fusobacteriota; Fusobacteriia; Fusobacteriales; Fusobacteriaceae
Description: bacterial SSU rRNA
Rfam family: Bacterial small subunit ribosomal RNA
Source: RNAcentral
ACGCUGACAGAAUGCUUAACACAUGCAAGUCAACUUGAAUUUGGGUUUUUAACUUAGAUUUGGGUGGCGGACGGGUGAGUAACGCGUAAAGAACUUGCCUCACAGCUAGGGACAACAUUUAGAAAUGAAUGCUAAUACCUGAUAUUAUGAUUUUAAGGCAUCUUAGAAUUAUGAAAGCUAUAAGCACUGUGAGAGAGCCUUGCGUCCCAUUAGCUAGUUGGAGAGGUAACAGCUCACCAAGGCGAUGAUGGGUAGCCGGUCUGAGAGGGUGAACGGCCACAAGGGGACUGAGACACGGCCCUUACUCCUACGGGAGGCAGCAGUGGGGAAUAUUGGACAAUGGACCGAGAGUCUGAUCCAGCAAUUCUGUGUGCACGAUGAAGUUUUUCGGAAUGUAAAGUGCUUUCAGUUGGGAAGAAAAAAAUGACGGUACCAACAGAAGAAGUGACGGCUAAAUACGUGCCAGCAGCCGCGGUAAUACGUAUGUCACGAGCGUUAUCCGGAUUUAUUGGGCGUAAAGCGCGUCUAGGUGGUUAUGUAAGUCUGAUGUGAAAAUGCAGGGCUCAACUCUGUAUUGCGUUGGAAACUGUAUAACUAGAGUACUGGAGAGGUAAGCGGAACUACAAGUGUAGAGGUGAAAUUCGUAGAUAUUUGUAGGAAUGCCGAUGGGGAAGCCAGCUUACUGGACAGAUA